This 253-nucleotide ribosomal RNA is filed under the name uncultured bacterium. RNAcentral's name for it is "partial 16S ribosomal RNA". It matches the Rfam family "Bacterial small subunit ribosomal RNA", at positions 524 to 776 of the family's 1533-position model. The record is from RNAcentral.
UACGGGGGGGGCAAGCGUUGUUCGGAAUUACUGGGCGUAAAGGGCUCGUAGGCGGCCAACUAAGUCGGAUGUGAAAUCCCCAGGCUUAACCUGGGAACUGCAUCCGAUACUGGAUGGCUUGAAUCCGGGAGAGGGAUGCAGAAUUCCAGGUGUAGCGGUGAAAUGCGUAGAUAUCUGGAGGAAUACCGGUGGCGAAGGCGGCAUCCUGGACCGACACUGACGCUGAGGCGCGAAAGCUAGGGGAGCAAACGGG